RNAcentral lists this ribosomal RNA (253 nucleotides) under uncultured bacterium. Its description in RNAcentral is "partial 16S ribosomal RNA". It matches the Rfam family "Bacterial small subunit ribosomal RNA", at positions 524 to 776 of the family's 1533-position model. The record is from RNAcentral.
UACGGGGGGGGCAAGCGUUGUUCGGAAUUACUGGGCGUAAAGGGCUCGUAGGUGGCCAAUUAAGUCAGACGUGAAAUCCCCAGGCUCAACCUGGGAACUGCGUCUGAUACUGAUUGGCUUGAAUCCGGGAGAGGGAUGCAGAAUUCCAGGUGUAGCGGUGAAAUGCGUAGAUAUCUGGAGGAAUACCGGUGGCGAAGGCGGCAUCCUGGACCGGCAUUGACGCUGAGGAGCGAAAGCCAGGGGAGCAAACGGG